CCCUUAGACGUUCUGGGCCGCACGCGCGCUACACUGACGGAGCCAGCGAGUAUAAACCUUGGCCGAGAGGUCUGGGAAAUCUUGUGAAACUCCGUCGUGCUGGGGAUAGAGCAUUGUAAUUAUUGCUCUUCAACGAGGAAUUCCAAGUAAGCGCAAGUCAUCAGCUUGCGUUGAUUACGUCCCUGCCCUUUGUACACACCGCCCGUCGCUACUACCGAUUGAAUGGCUUAGUGAGGCUUCCGGAUUGGUUUAGAGAAGGGGGCAACUCCAUCUUGGAACCGAGAAGCUAGUCAAACUUGGUCAUUUAGAGGAAGUAAAAGUCGUAACA
This 328-nucleotide ribosomal RNA is filed under the name uncultured eukaryote. Its description in RNAcentral is "partial 18S ribosomal RNA". It matches the Rfam family "Eukaryotic small subunit ribosomal RNA", at positions 1470 to 1796 of the family's 1831-position model. The record is from RNAcentral.